Molecule: ribosomal RNA, 617 nt
Filed under: Clostridioides difficile
Lineage: Bacteria; Bacillati; Bacillota; Clostridia; Peptostreptococcales; Peptostreptococcaceae
Description: bacterial LSU rRNA
Rfam family: Bacterial large subunit ribosomal RNA
Source: RNAcentral
UUUAACUGAGCGUUCAGUUACUUGACGUAGACCCGAAACCGGGCGACCUACCCAUGAGCAGGAUGAAGCGAAAGUAAAAUUUCGUGGAGGUCCGAACCCACGAGCGUUGAAAAGCUCGGGGAUGACUUGUGGGUAGCGGUGAAAUUCCAAUCGAGCCCGGAGAUAGCUGGUUCUCCCCGAAAUAGCUUUAGGGCUAGCCUCAAGGUGAGAGAUACGGAGGUAGAGCACUGAAUGUCCUAGGGGGUAUUGCACCUACCGAAGACUAUCAAACUCCGAAUGCCGUCAUCUUAUACUUGGGAGUCAGACUGUGGGUGAUAAGAUUCAUAGUCGAAAGGGCAACAGCCCAGAUCGUCAGCUAAGGUCCCUAAAUGUAAGUUAAGUGGUAAAGGAUGUGGGAUUGCACAGACAACCAGGAUGUUGGCUUAGAAGCAGCCACUCAUUCAAAGAGUGCGUAAUAGCUCACUGGUCGAGUGAUCCUGCGCCGAAGAUGUCCGGGGCUAAAACUUACUACCGAAGCUACGGCAUCAGUAAUGAUGGGUAGGGGAGCUUCACAUACGGGUUGAAGCAUGACCGUAAGGACAUGUGGACAGUAUGGGAGUGAGAAUGUUGGCAUGAGU